This 469-nucleotide ribosomal RNA is filed under the name uncultured bacterium. RNAcentral describes it as "bacterial SSU rRNA". It matches the Rfam family "Bacterial small subunit ribosomal RNA", at positions 335 to 797 of the family's 1533-position model. The record is from RNAcentral.
ACUCCUACGGGAGGCAGCAGUGAGGAAUAUUGGUCAAUGGUCGCAAGACUGAACCAGCCAUGCCGCGUGCAGGAAGACGGUCCUAUGGAUUGUAAACUGCUUUUUAUACAGGAAGAAACCCUCCCACGUGUGGGAGCUUGACGGUACUGUAGGAAUAAGGAUCGGCUAACUCCGUGCCAGCAGCCGCGGUAAUACGGAGGAUCCAAGCGUUAUCCGGAAUCAUUGGGUUUAAAGGGUCCGUAGGCGGCCUUAUAAGUCAGUGGUGAAAGCCCAUCGCUCAACGAUGGAACUGCCAUUGAUACUGUAAGGCUUGAAUUAUUGUGAAGUAACUAGAAUAUGUAGUGUAGCGGUGAAAUGCUUAGAUAUUACAUGGAAUACCAAUUGCGAAGGCAGGUUACUAACAAUGGAUUGACGCUGAUGGACGAAAGCGUGGGAGCGAACAGGAUUAGAUACCCCUGGUAGGAUACCG